Molecule: ribosomal RNA, 513 nt
Filed under: Vishniacozyma sp.
Lineage: Eukaryota; Fungi; Basidiomycota; Tremellomycetes; Tremellales; Bulleribasidiaceae
Description: partial large subunit ribosomal RNA
Rfam family: Eukaryotic large subunit ribosomal RNA
Source: RNAcentral
GAGCUCAAAUUUAAAAUCUGGCGUCUUUCAGGCGUCCGAGUUGUAAUCUAUAGAGGCGUUUUCCGCGCCGGACCGCGUCCAAGUCUCUUGGAAUAGAGUAUCAAAGAGGGUGACAAUCCCGUACUUGACGCGACAACCGGUGCUCUGUGCAUACGUUCUCAAUGAGUCGAGUUGUUUGGGAAUGCAGCUCUAAAUGGGUGGUAAAUUCCAUCUAAGGCUAAAUAUUGGCGAGAGACCGAUAGCGAACAAGUACCGUGAGGGAAAGAUGAAAAGCACUUUGGAAAGAGAGUUAAACAGCACGUGAAAUUGUUAAAAGGGAAACGAUUGAAGUCAGUCGUGUGAAAGGUAUUCAGCCGGCUCUGGCGGUGUAUUUGCCUUUCACGGGUCAACAUCAGUUUGAUCCGGUAGAAAAAGGCGGGAGGAAGGUGGCACCCUACGGGGUGUGUUAUAGCCUCCUGUCAUAUGUGCCGGAACAGUACUGAGGGAGCGCAGCUUGCCGCAAGGGCCGGGGUU